AGCUCGGAGCCCUACAACGGAAGUUUUACCGUGCUUUAACUAUAAAGAACUGUGUUGAAGAUACGUAUGGCCUCCCAGAGCCUGGCCAAUUAGUUAAGAUAUUUAAAGAAAUCCAAAGAUGAUUUUCUAAAAACACCAUACUGAUUUUAAAAGAACAAGAGAAUUUAGGACGUGUUUGCUAUAUGUAUGAACAGAUACUAGAAGACCGAGUGAUAAUUCAAACUUUCAGUAGCACUGCAAAGGAGGACAAACUUGAGUCUUCAACUUCGAGGCGUGCAAACGUGUUAAAUGUGCACAAGUGGAAACUUUCUACUACUCCUUCAGAAUUGAAAGUUCGAAGAGGUUUAUAAAAUUAUUUGUCCCCCUGGAGGACAAAUGAUUUCUUAACGUUAUUCAAGCUGUCAGACGUGAAGAAAGAAGUUCAGCCAAAGGUCAGAAACAUGUGUUUGAGUUUUCUUUUUUUUUUUUUUCUUUUUUUUUCUUUUUCUUUUUUUUUUUGUUGAAUUCAGCCGAGUUCAGUCACAGCUGCAAGUGAAGCUCCACACUUAAUUCUAAAUAUAAGGCAUGUUUCAGUAAAUCAAAUUGUGCUCAGAAAGUUUCCACAAAUAGCUAAAAUAUCAAGAUUUGGAUUUUACACACCUAUGUUUUUUGUUAUAAGCGAAUUUCGGAUAAUGCUUUCUAUACUGCUUUUGGAACUAAGAGCAAUGCCAAAAAGAUAUAAACAACCUUGCUU
Stegodyphus dumicola is the source of this 733-nucleotide long non-coding RNA. The record is from RefSeq and is a predicted model, not a curated record. NCBI's taxonomy places the organism in Eukaryota, Metazoa, Arthropoda, Arachnida, Araneae, Eresidae.